This 377-nucleotide ribosomal RNA is filed under the name uncultured bacterium. Its description in RNAcentral is "bacterial SSU rRNA". It matches the Rfam family "Bacterial small subunit ribosomal RNA", at positions 521 to 896 of the family's 1533-position model. The record is from RNAcentral.
UAAUACAGAGGUGGCAAGCGUUGUUCGGAAUUACUGGGCGUAAAGGGCGCGUAGGCGGUUCGAUAAGUCCCGUGUGAAAGCCCCCGGCUCAACUGGGGAACUGCACGGGAAACUGACGGACUUGAGUUCGGGAGAGGGAAGCGGAAUUCCGGGUGUAGCGGUGAAAUGCGUAGAUAUCCGGAGGAACACCGGUGGCGAAGGCGGCUUCCUGGACCGACACUGACGCUGAGGCGCGAAAGCUAGGGGAGCAAACGGGAUUAGAUACCCCGGUAGUCCUAGCUGUAAACGAUGAGUGCUGGGUGUAGGGGGUGUUAACCCCUCCUGUGCCGAAGCUAACGCAUUAAGCACUCCGCCUGGGGAGUACGGUCGCAAGGCUG